RNAcentral lists this ribosomal RNA (301 nucleotides) under uncultured bacterium. RNAcentral describes it as "partial 16S ribosomal RNA". It matches the Rfam family "Bacterial small subunit ribosomal RNA", at positions 509 to 807 of the family's 1533-position model. The record is from RNAcentral.
CAGCCGCCGCGGGAAUACGAAGGGUGCAAGCGUUAAUCGGAAUUACUGGGCGUAAAGCGCACGUAGGCGGCUUGGUAAGUUAGAGGUGAAAGCCUGGAGCUCAACUCCAGAAUUGCCUCUAAGACUGCCGAGCUAGCAGGUGAGAGAGGUAAGUGGAAUUCCGAGUGUAGAGGUGAAAUUCGUAGAUAUUCGGAAGAACACCAGUGGCGAAGGCGGCUUACUGGCUCAUACUGGACGCUGAGGUGCGAAAGCGUGGGGAGCAAACAGGAUUAGAUACCCCCGUAGUCCCUGUCUCUUAUAC